AAGGGAUCCUAAGCAUUUUCAAAAUCAGGCUCAAUCCAUUUGGCCCUGAGCAAGUGCACAGACUUUUCAUUUUCUCACAGGCCCCCUCUCUGGGUUAUCAAUAAAAAGUAAUCCUAUGCUGCAAACUCUUUGCCCAUAAGAGAAACCAGGAAAAGCAAUUCCAAAGAGAUGUCCAAUAACAAAGUAUCCUCAUAGCAUUAAAGUCAUCAGUCUGGUAGCUGAGAUCUCUCUAAGUUUCCAGGUCUUUUACCUGAGGUGGUGUGGAGACAGGGGGAUGAUUGACCUCUAAGAAUCUCAGCCUUGCCUGGUGCAGUGGCUCAUGCCUGUAAUCCCAGCACUUUGGGAGGCUGAGGCGGGCAGAUCAUGAGGUCAGGAGUUCAAGACCAGCCUGGCCAACAUGGUGAAACCCUGUCUCUACUAAAAAUUAAAAAAAAAUUAGCUGGGUAUGGUGGUGCAUGCCUGUAAUCCCAGCAACUUGGGAGGCAGAGGCAGGAGAAUUGCUUGAACUGGGGCGGUGGAGGUUGCAGUGAGCUGAGAUUGUACUACUGCACUCUAGCCUGGGCGACAGAGUGAGACUUUGUCUUGGGGAAAAAAAAAAAAAAAAAAAAAAGAAAAGAAAAAAGAAUCUCAGCCUUUGCGCUGCAAAUUAAGUGUUGUUCAUACCAUUAUGCAUGUUAUGGUCCAGAAAGAGUCUUCUUUCAGGGGAGAGAGGCAAAGACGUUGAAGAAUAUGGUGAGAUGUCAGGUGACCCAGUUCUUCUACUGACAGAGGGGGACUGUCUCUCUGAGCCUGGAUUUUCUAAUCUCUAAAGUGUGCA
Molecule: long non-coding RNA, 817 nt
Filed under: Homo sapiens (human)
Lineage: Eukaryota; Metazoa; Chordata; Mammalia; Primates; Hominidae
Description: HSALNT0154800
Source: RNAcentral